This 739-nucleotide ribosomal RNA is filed under the name Pseudomonas sp. OC-D5-4. RNAcentral's name for it is "bacterial SSU rRNA". It matches the Rfam family "Bacterial small subunit ribosomal RNA", at positions 48 to 780 of the family's 1533-position model. Lineage: Bacteria; Pseudomonadati; Pseudomonadota; Gammaproteobacteria; Pseudomonadales; Pseudomonadaceae. The record is from RNAcentral.
CUAACACAUGCAAGUCGAGCGGUAGAGAAGGAGCUUGCUUCUUCUUGAGAGCGGCGCAAGGGUGAGUAAUGCCUAGGAAUCUGCCUGGUAGUGGGGGACAACGUUUCGAAAGGAACGCUAAUACCGCAUACGUCCUACGGGAGAAAGUGGGGGAUCUUCGGACCUCACGCUAUCAGAUGAGCCUAGGUCGGAUUAGCUUGUAGGUGAGGUAAUGGCUCACCUAGGCAACGAUCCGUAACUGGUCUGAGAGGAUGAUCAGUCACACUGGAACUGAGACACGGUCCAGACUCCUACGGGAGGCAGCAGUGGGGAAUAUUGGACAAUGGGCGAAAGCCUGAUCCAGCCAUGCCGCGUGUGUGAAGAAGGUCUUCGGAUUGUAAAGCACUUUAAGUUGGGAGGAAGGGUUGUAGCUUAAUACGCUGCAACCUUGACGUUACCAACAGAAUAAGCACCGGCUAACUCUGUGCCAGCAGCCGCGGUAAUACAGAGGGUGCAAGCGUUAAUCGGAAUUACUGGGCGUAAAGCGCGCGUAGGCGGCUUGAUAAGAUGGGUGUGAAAUCCCCGGGCUUAACCUGGGAACUGCAUCCAUAACUGUCUGGCUAGAGUACAGUAGAGGGUGGUGGAAUUUCCUGUGUAGCGGUGAAAUGCGUAGAUAUAGGAAGGAACACCAGUGGCGAAGGCGACCACCUGGACUGAUACUGACGCUGAGGUGCGAAAGCGUGGGGAGCAAACAGGAUUA